UUUAUCACAGUGCAUUUGAAUUAUUUGUUUGUCCGUCUGUUUCCACCGCUGGGCAGGGAGCUCUGGUGGCUGUGGACUUUGCCCCUACGUAUUUUUGUGUUUGUGUGUCCUGUCCCCAGUGCCUGGAAUAUGCUAGAUGUAAUUCUAAAAGUAUCAGUGGAAGAGGAAAUGCAGGAACAGUCCUCUGCAAGGAAGCCUUUUCCCCCGCGGUGACUCAGGAUGCUUUCUGUCGCAGCUGUCACAAGACUUGACUCAAAUCUGAUUUCAGCAAAGAGGGACCAGGAACUUGGAUAGGGCCCAGCUCGGAAGACUCACCUGGCCUCAUACCUGGGGCCUCAGCCGGGAUAGCAGACGUGUGAGGACGGGAGCAAGUGAGGAUGGGCUGGACGUCUCUCUCUCUCUGUGAAGGAGUGAAAUAUUGCCAUUUGCAGCAAUGGGAAUGGGCCUAGAGAUCGUCAUAUUAAGCGAAAGAAGUAGGUCAGGGAGAGAAAGACAAAUAUUAUAUGGUAUCACUUAUAUGAGGAAUCUCAAAGAAUGGACACAAACUUAUUUUAAAACAGAGACAAGAAGACAAACUUACAGUUACAAAGGGGAAAAGGGAGGGGGGAUAAAUUAAGAAUUUGCGAUUUGCAGGUACGAACUACUAUCUAUAAAAUAGAUAAACAAGGCCCUACUAUAGAGCACAGGGAACUAUGUUCAAUAGCUUGUAAUAACCUAUAAUGAAAAAUACAUGAAAAAAAAAUAGCAUAACUGAAUCACUAUGCUGUACUCCAGAAACUGACGCAAUAUUGUAAAUAGACUACACGUCUGUUAAAAAAUUGCAAAUGCAGUCUGAAGCCUGUUGUUUUACAACCUUUGAGCUAAGGGAGGUUCUGCCAUUUACUAACCGGACUACAUGUGAGAACCAGGCUGGGGCUGGACCUUACACUGCUUUGUGGGCUCACAUAUGGGGUUUGGACUUUAUUUGAAUAGUAAACAGAACCUUUAAGCAGAUUUGAUGCGAGGAUGUAACACAGGCUUAUUUACGUUUGAGAAGACUCUCUUGCUCUGUUGUGGAGACCGGUGAGAGGCUGUCCUGGCUCUCCAGGACAGAAGGGAUGGCAUACAGACGUGGUGGCAGGGGGUGUGCAGAGGAGACCCCACUGACACACAUCUUAGAAGCAGAGUGGAGGAAACUUGCUCCUGGACUGGGCUUGGCAGCUUGAGACCAAUGGGAAUGAGGAUGACUUCCAGAAGAAAUGAAAUACCAACCCAGUCCUGUUCGCUCACCGGAAAGCGUGAUGGCAUCAUGCUGCCUGACUCCUACUGGCGCCGUGAGAAAAUUCACGUUCACGGGAGCACAGUGCGGGGCCCGUCGUGAGCGACGGGUACACGAUGGCUACUAACGGUGCUGCGGCCACCACUGGCGCCGCCUCCACCGCCCCCACUGCUACCACUGUUACUGCUGCCGCCACCACCACCACCACCACCACCACCAUGACUCCCACCGCCACCAUCGCUACUGCCACUGUUACUGCUGCCGCCACCACCACCACCACCACCACCAUGACUCCCACCACCACCACUACUACUGCUACUCCCACCACCAGCACUACCACCGUUAUCACUGCUGUGUAUCACCCCCACCACUACCGCUACCACCACCAUUACUAGCACGACGACUACUACUUUACUAGUGUUUGAGACGACAUAACUGAUUAAAACCGAAGCUUCCCUGCUGGUACUUUCAAUGCAAUCUUGAACCGUGCAGGUGCGUGAUUUUUUUCCAUUUUCACUCCACUCCACUCGCGACUCUGGUGCCUUUGUCGUAUUGUUUAGUUUACCGUGAUCUUUGUUUACCAUGAAAAUUU
Long non-coding RNA from Camelus dromedarius (Arabian camel), 1850 nucleotides. RefSeq lists it as uncharacterized. Lineage: Eukaryota; Metazoa; Chordata; Mammalia; Artiodactyla; Camelidae. The transcript has 3 exons. The record is from RefSeq and is a predicted model, not a curated record.